GUGGCUUCCGGAGCUAACGCGUUAAGUCGACCGCCUGGGGAGUACGGCCGCAAGGUUAAAACUCAAAUGAAUUGACGGGGGCCCGCACAAGCGGUGGAGCAUGUGGUUUAAUUCGAUGCAACGCGAAGAACCUUACCUGGUCUUGACAUCCACGGAAGUUUUCAGAGAUGAGAAUGUGCCUUCGGGAACCGUGAGACAGGUGCUGCAUGGCUGUCGUCAGCUCGUGUUGUGAAAUGUUGGGUUAAGUCCCGCAACGAGCGCAACCCUUAUCCUUUGUUGCCAGCGGUCCGGCCGGGAACUCAAAGGAGACUGCCAGUGAUAAACUGGAGGAAGGUGGGGAUGACGUCAAGUCAUCAUGGCCCUUACGACCAGGGCUACACACGUGCUACAAUGGCGCAUACAAAGAGAAGCGACCUCGCGAGAGCAAGCGGACCUCAUAAAGUGCGUCGUAGUCCGGAUUGGAGUCUGCAACUCGACUCCAUGAAGUCGGAAUCGCUAGUAAUCGUGGAUCAGAAUGCCACGGUGAAUACGUUCCCGGGCCUUGUACACACCGCCCGUCACACCAUGGGAGUGGGUUGCAAAAGAAGUAGGUAGCUUAACCUUCGGGAGGGCGCUUACCACUUUGUGAUUCAUGACUGGGGUGAAGUCGUAACAAGGUAACCGUAGGGGAACCUGCGGUUG
RNAcentral lists this ribosomal RNA (681 nucleotides) under Escherichia coli. Its description in RNAcentral is "bacterial SSU rRNA". It matches the Rfam family "Bacterial small subunit ribosomal RNA", at positions 839 to 1520 of the family's 1533-position model. RNAcentral also lists the same sequence under 3 other names. Lineage: Bacteria; Pseudomonadati; Pseudomonadota; Gammaproteobacteria; Enterobacterales; Enterobacteriaceae. The record is from RNAcentral.